CGCGGAGUGGAGCAGUUGGUAGCUCGUCGGGCUCAUAACCCGAAGGUCGUAGGUUCAAGUCCUAUUUCCGCUACCA
This 76-nucleotide transfer RNA is filed under the name Clostridium botulinum. Its description in RNAcentral is "tRNA-fMet (CAT) (tRNA-fMet-CAT-4-1)". It matches the Rfam family "tRNA". From Rfam's summary of the family: Transfer RNA (tRNA) molecules are approximately 80 nucleotides in length. Lineage: Bacteria; Bacillati; Bacillota; Clostridia; Eubacteriales; Clostridiaceae. The record is from RNAcentral.